This 1390-nucleotide long non-coding RNA is filed under the name Scleropages formosus (Asian bonytongue). Its description in RNAcentral is "lncRNA (ENSSFOG00015026358.1)". The record is from RNAcentral. Lineage: Eukaryota; Metazoa; Chordata; Actinopteri; Osteoglossiformes; Osteoglossidae.
GGAAGUCGCUGUCGAUGACUAGUCGGACCUCACGAUGAGUGUGACAAACACAGACAGUAAACUGCAAUAAACAAUGGCAAACCAAGGGCUAAUGAGUCCAAGCAGCAAUGACAGCAGUCGCUGCGUUCAUGUUAGCACUGGUUUUGACGACUACCAAUGUACGGUGAUUCUCAUGGUGAAAAGGGCAACAGCUACAUUCUCUUUAGUGGGAUGUCUCUUCAUGCUGUUUGUGAUCUGGCUUUUCCGCAGAUACCACUCCUUGGCUCAGAAGAUGGUCGUGAGCCUGACUGUAGCUGCGUUCUUUGACAGCGUUGCCUACGUCAUGGGUGAGGACCAUCCCAAAGGACCGCUGUGCACCUUUCAAGCCUGGUGGCUUACAUACUUUGAUUGGAGUGCCCUGGCCUGGGUCAGUCUCAUCACCCUUAACCUCUACAUCAACCUAGUGAAGGAGACACGGACGGAGCAGUACCACAUAUUCUACCAUCUGUUGGCCUGGGGGGUUCCUCUCCUGAUGUCCUGCCUUCCCCUGAUUGGUGGGUUCUACGGUCCGGCUGGACCCUGGUGGAAACCUCACGAGGUCCUUGCGGAGGAACCAUCUGUGUGCUCCGGCAGACGCGGCCCACUUCCUGCGGCGGCUCAAUUCGCGUUCGUGGUUAAUAGGUUAUCACACAGAAAUGGCGGAGGAGAGCAGUUUUUGCUGAUAUAAUGAGCACUGCGUUGCGGUGUUAUUCUGCAUUACGAUAAUUGCUUUCGAGGGCUCUCUCCGUAGGAAUAUCUGAGCUUCGGAGACAAGCCGGCCACAGCGCUUGCGUGCUGCCGUGGUGUCGUCCUCCGCACGACAAGGUCUUCGUCGCCCGUGUGUGAUUGACAGCUCCCACACAUUCCCUGGUGGCAGAGGUGGCUUAUAGCAGCUCAGGGCACCAGCCCCCCGAUACCUUAUCUGCAGGAGUGCGGGGUUUAAGCCACUUAAUGGAAAAAGGGGAUGUGGAGAAAAAUGAUGCAUUGCAGGAGGGAGGGUCUCCUGGCAAACAUAGAAAGCUGCUUCGGCACACGCGCAGCCCUCUGGGUAAGAACCUUCAGGGUAAAGCCCGUAAAGCUGUUUCUGUUUAAUGAUGUGGAAGAACGUCUGUGUUUGUGUAAUUUGUAGCCCUAAUACUCGCCUGGGAGGCUGACCUGAGAAUGGCCUUUGGCUCUUGUUGCAUCUGAGAACGUCCUGGAGGCACAGUGCGCGCACGUCUCUUAUUCCCUUCGCUGUGGGUUGAGAGUGGAGACAAGUUAACGGUCAUCAUCCUCAGGGUUACAGAGAGUCACACGUACAGCUUGGCUAAUGAGACGGGUGUAUAGCCGCUAAUGUUUACUGUUCUUACCGUUCAGUGUAGGGUCCCCUGGC